RNAcentral lists this small RNA (962 nucleotides) under Vigna angularis var. angularis. Its description in RNAcentral is "Non-protein coding transcript". Lineage: Eukaryota; Viridiplantae; Streptophyta; Magnoliopsida; Fabales; Fabaceae. The record is from RNAcentral.
UGAGAAUAGCAGGCCUUUUGAGGCCCAUACUCAUUUUAAUUGUUGACCAGAAAAAAAAAGGGAAUUCGCUCAUCUUCAUUCUUCACCAAAACUUUCACUGAAUGUGAAACUCAGACUCAGGAAGGAGAAAAUCUGCUCCGUAGUUAGGGUUCGCAAGUUUCGAUUGGCACUGCAACAAAUUUGUGGACAAAGAAAAAGAUUCAGUUGAGUUCCGAGGGUUUUCUGUAGCAAUUUGGUAUCAGAUUGAUCGAUGGCACGAGCACGCAAUCUAAUGGUUGCUGCGGGUUUGGUUGCUUUCGCUGCAGCAGGCAUGUCAUUUCCCUUCUACAUGGCUUCAUCAAGGAAGCCUGUUAUUGAUCCAACAAAGCCACUUCCACCACAAGCAACUUUUCGAGGGCCUUACAUCAACACAGGCUCGCGUGAUGUUGGUCCUGAUGUUGAGAAGAAAUGAAACAAGUUGAGUUAGAUGAUCAAGCUCAUAUUCAUAUAUAUGCUCGUUGUUUGAGAGAUUUUUUCUCACCUCAGUUUGGUGAAUUGUGAUUCUUAAGCACAAUCUUGGAACUGAGAAAGUUUGAGGAUGGGAGUUCUUUUCUGGAAGAGGUCACUCAAUCUGUAUGUAUUAGAUGAAUGAUGUUAUUUGUCAUGUCACUUGUAUCUGUAUCUUCUGUUUCCAAAAAAACAUGUAGUGUUGCAUGCCUUUGUGACCACAAUAACAACAACAUUUUUGUCUCGCUGGUUUAGGUUGGUUAUAUGGAUUACAAGAUACCAUUUAGUUCAGUUAAAGACCAAACGAAAUUCGUCUUAAUCACUUGUUCUAAUGUCUUUGCUGGUCUUCGUUUUUGAUAGGACUGAAAAAACAUGCAAUUUACUAUCCUCAGUAAUAUGUUUUCUUCAUCUUGUGACCAUACAAUUGUAAAAACUUUAAGCUCUAGCAAUUUGCACUUUUGGCUAAGCUUAGCUUG